RNAcentral lists this transfer RNA (87 nucleotides) under Candidatus Scatoplasma merdavium. Its description in RNAcentral is "tRNA-Ser". It matches the Rfam family "tRNA". Rfam says of the family: Transfer RNA (tRNA) molecules are approximately 80 nucleotides in length. Lineage: Bacteria; Bacillati; Bacillota; Bacilli; Caryophanales. The record is from RNAcentral.
GGAGCAAUACCCAAGUGGUUAAGGGGAGUCCCUGCUAAGGAUUUAGACAGGUUAUCCUGUGCGAGAGUUCGAAUCUCUCUUGCUCCG